Molecule: ribosomal RNA, 255 nt
Filed under: uncultured bacterium
Lineage: Bacteria
Description: partial 16S ribosomal RNA
Rfam family: Bacterial small subunit ribosomal RNA
Source: RNAcentral
GAUCCUACGGGGGGCAGCAGUGGGGAAUAUUGCACAAUGGGGGAAACCCUGAUGCAGCAACGCCGCGUGAGGGAAGAAGUAUUUCGGUAUGUAAAGCUCUAUCAGCAGGGAAGAAGAUGACGGUACCUGAGGAAGAAGCCCCGGCUAACUACGUGCCAGCAGCCGCGGUAAUACGUAGGGGGCAAGCGUUAUCCGGAUUUACUGGGUGUAAAGGGAGCGUAGACGGCUGCGCAAGUCUGAAGUGAAAGCCCGGGG